GAGCAUGUGGUUUAAUUCGAAGCAACGCGAAGAACCUUACCAGGUCUUGACAUCCUUUGACCAUCCUAGAGAUAGGAUUUUCCCUUCGGGGACAAAGUGACAGGUGGUGCAUGGUUGUCGUCAGCUCGUGUCGUGAGAUGUUGGGUUAAGUCCCGCAACGAGCGCAACCCUUAUUGUUAGUUGCCAUCAUUCAGUUGGGCACUCUAGCGAGACUGCCGCAGACAAUGCGGAGGAAGGUGGGGAUGACGUCAAAUCAUCAUGCCCCUUAUGACCUGGGCUACACACGUGCUACAAUGGAGAGUACAACGAGUCGCAAAGCCGCGAGGCUAAGCCAAUCUCUUAAAGCUCUUCUCAGUUCGGAUUGUAGGCUGCAACUCGCCUACAUGAAGCCGGAAUCGCUAGUAAUCGCGGAUCAGCACGCCGCGGUGAAUACGUUCCCGGGUCUUGUACACACCGCCCGUCACACCACGAGAGUUUGUAACACCCAAAGCCGGUGCGGUAACCGCAAGGAGCCAGCCGUCUAAGGUGGGAUAGAUGAUUGGGGUGAAGUCGUAACAAGGUAGCCGUAUCGGAAGGUGCGGCUGGAUCACCUCCUU
RNAcentral lists this ribosomal RNA (596 nucleotides) under Enterococcus cecorum. Its description in RNAcentral is "bacterial SSU rRNA". It matches the Rfam family "Bacterial small subunit ribosomal RNA", at positions 935 to 1532 of the family's 1533-position model. The record is from RNAcentral. Lineage: Bacteria; Bacillati; Bacillota; Bacilli; Lactobacillales; Enterococcaceae.